UGCAGUCGAACGAUGAAAGCAGGAGCUCGCUUUUGCUGGAUUAGUGGCGAACGGGUGAGUAACACGUGAGUAACCUGCCCUUGACUCUGGGAUAAGCGUUGGAAACGACGUCUAAUACCGGAUACGAGCUAGGACCGCAUGGUCAUUAGCUGGAAAGAAUUUCGGUCAAGGAUGGACUCGCGGCCUAUCAGCUAGUUGGUGAGGUAACGGCUCACCAAGGCGACGACGGGUAGCCGGCCUGAGAGGGUGACCGGCCACACUGGGACUGAGACACGGCCCAGACUCCUACGGGAGGCAGCAGUGGGGAAUAUUGCACAAUGGGCGCAAGCCUGAUGCAGCAACGCCGCGUGAGGGACGACGGCCUUCGGGUUGUAAACCUCUUUUAGCAGGGAAGAAGCGCAAGUGACGGUACCUGCAGAAAAAGCACCGGCUAACUACGUGCCAGCAGCCGCGGUAAUACGUAGGGUGCAAGCGUUGUCCGGAAUUAUUGGGCAUAAAGAGCUCGUAGGCGGUUUGUCGCGUCUGCUGUGAAAAUCCGAGGCUCAACCUCGGACCUGCAGUGGGUACGGGCAAACUAGAGUGCGGUAGGGGAGAUUGGAAUUCCUGGUGUAGCGGUGGAAUGCGCAGAUAUCAGGAGGAACACCAAUGGCGAAGGCAGAUCUCUGGGCCGUAACUGACGCUGAGGAGCGAAAGCGUGGGGAGCGAACAGGAUUAGAUACCCUGGUAGUCCACGCCGUAAACGGUGGGAACUAGAUGUGGGGUCCGUUCCACGGAUUCCGUGUCGCAGCUAACGC
Molecule: ribosomal RNA, 794 nt
Filed under: uncultured bacterium
Lineage: Bacteria
Description: bacterial SSU rRNA
Rfam family: Bacterial small subunit ribosomal RNA
Source: RNAcentral